Molecule: long non-coding RNA, 4572 nt
Filed under: Paramuricea clavata
Lineage: Eukaryota; Metazoa; Cnidaria; Anthozoa; Malacalcyonacea; Plexauridae
Source: RNAcentral
CACUGAUAUAGGGGUGAACGCCUUAUGUUACACAUAGGGGCAGGGGUAUAAACCUUAUCUUACACUGAUAUAGGGGUGAACGCCUUAUGUUACAUAUAGGGGCAGGGGUAUAAACCUUAUAUUACACUGAUAUAGGGGUGAAUGCCUUAUGUUACAUAUAGGGGCACGGGUAUAAACCUUAUCUUACACUGAUAUAGGGGCGAAUGCCUUAAUAUGUUACACAUAGGGGCAGGGAUAUAAACCUUAUCUUACACUGAUAUAGGGGUAAAUGCCUUAUGUUACAUAUAGGGGCAGGGGUAUAACCUUAUGUUACACUGAUAUAGGGGUGAAUGCCUUAUGUUACACAUAGGGGCGGGGGUAUAAACCUUAUCUUACACUGAUAUAUAGGGGUGAAUGCCUUAAUAUGUUACACAUAGGGGCAGGGGUAUAAACCUUAUGUUAGACUGAUAUAGGGGUGAACGCCUUAUGUUACAUAUACGGGCAGGGGUAUAGACCAUAUCUUACACUGAUAUAGGGGUGAACGCCUUAUGUUACAUAUAGGGACAGGGGUAUAACCUUAUGUUACACUGAUAUAGGGGUGAAUGCCUUAUGUUACACGUAGGGGCGGGGGUAUAAACCUUAUGUUACACUGAUAUAGGGGUGAAUGCCUUAAUAUGUUACACAUAGGGGCAGGGGUAUAAACCUUAUCUUACACUGAUAUAGGGGUGAAUGCUUUAAUAUGUUACACUGAUAUACGGGUGAAUGCCUUAUGUUACACAUAGGGGCAGGGGUAUAAACCUUAUGUUAGACUGAUAUAGGGGUGAAUGCCUUAAUAUGUUACACAUAGGGGCAGGGGUGUAAACCUUAUCUUACACUGAUAUAGGGGUGAACGCCUUAUGUUACAUAUAGGGGCAGGAGUAUAAACCUUAUCUUACACUGAUAUAGGGGUGAAUGCCUUAAUAUGUUACAUAUAGGGGCAGGGGUGUAAACCUUAUCUUACACUGAUAUAGAGGUGAACGCCUUAUGUUACAUAUAGGGGCAGGGGUAUAACCUUAUGUUACACUGGUAUAGGGGUGAAUGCCUUAUGUUACACAUAGGGGCGGGGGUAUAAACCUUAUCUUACACUGAUAUAUAGGGGUGAAUGCCUUAAUAUGUUACACAUAGGGGCAGGGGUGUAAACCUUAUCUUACACUGAUAUAGGGGUGAACGCCUUAUGUUACAUAUAGGGGCAGGAGUAUAAACCUUAUCUUACACUGAUAUAGGGGUGAAUGCCUUAAUAUGUUACAUAUAGGGGCAGGGGUGUAAACCUUAUCUUACACUGAUAUAGAGGUGAACGCCUUAUGUUACAUAUAGGGGCAGGGGUAUAAACCUUAUGUUAGACUGAUAUAGGGGUGAACGCCUUAUGUUACAUAUAGGGGCAGGGGUAUAGACCUUAUCUUACACUGAUAUAGCGGUGAACGCCUUAUGUUACAUAUAGGGACAGGGGUAUAACCUUAUGUUACACUGAUAUAGGGGUGAAUGCCUUAUGUUACACGUAGGGGCGGGGGUUAGCCUGCGAACAGGCUCUCAAGCUGAAUUGAGAGCCUGCAUCGAUGACUAAUGAAUUUGAAUAUCUGCGUCUCAAAUCGUGACGCGAAAUUCUCAUUGGUCAGAUGCUAUAAUUUAUAUGUUUCCGCUGAGCUCUAUAUAUGUUAACUGCUGAAAGCACUAUGCAUAAAAAACACAUUAACUGAUCAAAUUGGUCUUGGCCGUCUUAUCUCAAAGCACGAAAUGUUCUGUUUUGAGAAAACAGUAUUUAAAACAUUUGAACUUUUGCUUGGGGAAUGUAUAUCUUAUAUUUCGAAAAACAGUAUAAACUUUACGGUCCAAAUUUAGUUUGCACGAAAGUUGUAAACAACACCAUAUAAGGAUAAACAUUCCAUAUUUGGAGAAACAAACGUUACGGGGCAGAUAUUCAAAUUCAUUAGUCGUCGAUGCAGGCUCUCAAUUCAGCUUGAGAGCCUGUUCGCAGGCUAGGGCGGGGGUAUAAACCUUAUGUUACACUGAUAUAGGGGUGAAUGCCUUAUGUUACACAUAGGAGCAGAGGUAUAAACCUUAACUUAGACUGAUAUUGGGGUGAAUGCCUUAUGUUACACAUAGGGGCAGGGGUAUAAACCUUAUGUUAGACUGAUAUAGGGGUGAAUGCCUUAAUAUGUUACACAUAGGGGCAGGGGUAUAAACCUUAUCUUACACUGAUAUAGGGGUGAAUGCCUUAAUAUGUUACACAUAGGGGCAGGGGUAUAAACAUUAUCUUACACUGAUAUAGGGGUGAAUGCCUUAAUAUGUUACACAUAGGGGCAGGGGUGUAAACCUUAUCUUACACUGAUAUAGGGGUGAACGCCUUAUGUUACAUAUAGGUGCAGGGGUAUAAACCUUAUCUUACACUGAUAUAGGGGUGAAUGCCUUAAUAUGUUACAUAUAGGGGCAGGGGUGUAAACCUUAUCUUACACUGAUAUAGGGGUGAAUGCCUUAUGUUACAUAUAGGGCAGGGGUAUAAACCUUAUGUUAGACUGAUAUAGGGGUGAACGCCUUAUGUUACAUUUACGGGCAGGGGUAUAGACCUUAUCUUACACUGAUAUAGGGGUGAACGCCUUAUGUUACAUAUAGGGGCAGGGGUAUAGACCUUAUGUUACACUGAUAUAGCGGUGAACGCCUUAUGUUACAUAUAGGGGCAGGGGUAUAACCUUAUGUUACAUUGAUAUAGGGGUGAAUGCUUUAUGUUACACAUAGGGGCAGGGGUACAAACCUUAUCUUACACUGAUAUAGGGGUGAAUGCCUUAAUAUGUUACACAUAGUGGCAGGGGUAUAAACCUUAUCUUACACUGAUAUAGGGGUUAACGCCUUAUGUUACAUAUAGGGGCAGGGGUAUAAACCUUAUCUUACAGUGAUAUAGGGGUGAAUGCCUUAUGUUACACAUAGGGGCAGGGGUAUAAACCUUAACUUACACUGAUAUAGGGGUGAAUGCCUUAUGUUACACAUUGGGGCAGGGGUACAAACCUUAUCUUACACUGAUAUAGGGGUGAACGCCUUAUGUUACAUAUAGGGGCAGGGGUAUAAACCUUAUCUUACACUGAUAUAGGGGUGAAUGCCUUAUGUUACAUAUAGGGGCAGGGCUAUAAACCUUAUGUUAGACAGAUAUAGGGGUGAACACCUUGUUACAUAUAGGGGCAGGGGUAUAUACUCUGAUAUAGGGGUGAAUGCCUUAUGUUAUACAUAGGGGCAGGGAUAUAAACCUUAUCUUACACUGAUAUAGGGGUGAGUGCCUUAUGUUACUGUAUAGGGGCAGGGGUAUAAACCUUAUUUGUUGACAUCAGGGUUGCUGUGUGUUCCCCUUUGCAUUUGAUCCAAAUAUUUUAAAACUUUUUGGAGGCACUUUGUGAAUUUUUUUUAAAAAAUGCUGUGAUCCCCCUUUCUUCGCCCUGGGUUGUCUGUGUGGUCCCCCCUCUCCAUUUCCUGGGAUUGCCUGGUUCCCCCCCCCCCCCUGCAUGGUCGUUUUGAUGAGAGAGAUGGUUUUUGAGAGGUGGUUUUCCUUUUUGGGGCACUUUUAGAAUUGGUGUGGUGUUAGAGUGAGCCUACCGUAAUAUUUGCAUUUGAUGAAAAUUUUUUAAAAUAUUUUUGUAUCAGUCCAAAGUGAUUGUUUUGAUGAGAAAAGCUUUUCGACAAUUUUGAGAAAGUUUGAAGUGGUUUGGGGCACUUUUUGAAUUUUUAAAAAAUUUCCUGUGUUUCCCUCUUUCUUCACCAAUGGUUGCCUGUGGUCUGCCCUUUGCAGUUUCAUCAAUUUUUUGACACUUAAAGUAAAGCUGCAUGAGCCUUAAAUUUCUAUCAAGAAAAUAUUAAGGACUUUAAUCUUUCAUCAAUAUUUGCGUGCCAAAAAGUUAAGGCUCAGACCUUUAAUUUUUGGCAACUAAUUUUUUUUAACUAUAAUUUGGUGAUGAGAUAUUAUGUAGAAAUAAAUAUAGUUGUUGGCACUGAAUAGAUCUACUAGUCGAGUGGUCGUCUCUUGGUGUUGCAUGCGGGAGAACUAAGGAUCUAUCCCUGUUAUUGUCCAAACCAUUUUAAUCUCAGGUGGUGUUGUUAAUUAAUUCCACCCGAGACGAGAAAGAGUUAAGUAGAAUAAAAAAGAAGUUAAAGCAAGUGUAGGCGAGAUGGUCUAGCGGUAUGUACAAAGUGUUGCAAGUGCGUGAAGCUAUAGGUUCGAAUCCUGCUGUAGUCAAAAAGCAUUUUAAUGUCAGGCGUCGUUGUUGAUUAAUUCCACCCGAGACGAGAAAGAGUUAAGUAGAAUAAAAAAGAAGUUAAAGCAAGUGUAGGCGAGAUGGUCUAGCGGUAUGUACAAAGUGUUGCAAGUGCGUGAAGCUAUAGGUUCGAAUCCUGCUGUAGUCAAAAAGCAUUUUAAUGUCAGGCGUCGUUGUUGAUUAAUUCCACCCGAGACGAGAAAGAGUUAAGUAGAAUAAAAAAGAAGUUAAAGCAAGUGUAGGCGAGAUGGUCUAGCGGUAUGUACAAAGUGUUGCAAGUGCGUGAAGCUAUAGGUUCGAAUCCUGCUGUAGUCAAAAAGCA